RNAcentral lists this ribosomal RNA (253 nucleotides) under uncultured bacterium. Its description in RNAcentral is "partial 16S ribosomal RNA". It matches the Rfam family "Bacterial small subunit ribosomal RNA", at positions 524 to 776 of the family's 1533-position model. The record is from RNAcentral.
UACGAAGGGGGCUAGCGUUGCUCGGAUUGACUGGGCGUAAAGGGCGCGUAGGCGGUUCGUUCAGUCAGACGUGAAAUUCCUGGGCUCAACCUGGGGGCUGCGUUUGAUACGUGCGGACUUGAGUGCGGAAGAGGGUCGUGGAAUUCCCAGUGUAGAGGUGAAAUUCGUAGAUAUUGGGAAGAACACCGGUGGCGAAGGCGGCGACCUGGUCCGAUACUGACGCUGAGGCGCGAAAGCGUGGGGAGCAAACAGG